RNAcentral lists this ribosomal RNA (490 nucleotides) under uncultured bacterium. Its description in RNAcentral is "partial 16S ribosomal RNA". It matches the Rfam family "Bacterial small subunit ribosomal RNA", at positions 29 to 507 of the family's 1533-position model. The record is from RNAcentral.
AGUGAACGCUGGCGGCAGGCCUAACACAUGCAAGUCGAACGGUAACACAAAACGAGUUGGUUUUUCGCGGAGGAGAGGGGGGCGGGGGAGGAAAGUCUGUCGGACUUCCUUUUGUAGUGGGGUAACUACUGGGGACGGUAGCGAAUAUAGCAUAUCCUACCUACAGGUGAAAGGAGGACCCUUUCGGCUCUUGCGCGCGUAUGUGCCCAGAUGGCGUUAGCUUGUUGGCGGGGGAACGGCCCACCAAGGGGACGAUACCUAGCUGGGCUGAGAGGAGGAACAGCCACACUGGAACUGAGACACGGUCCAGACUCCUACGGGAGGCAGCAGUGGGGAAUAUUGGACAAUGGGCGCAAGCCUGAUGCAGCCAUGCCGCGUGUAUGAAGAAGGCCUUCGGGUUGUAAAGCACUUUUAGCGGGGAGGAAGGGUGUAACGUUAAUACCUCCGUUCAUUGACGUUACCCGAAGAAGAAGCACCGGCUAACUUCGUG